AGACCUUCUGGAAGCUGGAGUAACCAAGAAGGAACACUUUUCAUUUAUAAUGAGGGAGAAGGCAGCCACCUCCAAGCCAGGGAGCAGCUCCACCAGAACCCAACAAUGUUGCUACCCUGAUCUUGGAUUUCCUAGACUCAAAAACUGUGAGAAUCAUUUGUGGACAUGCACAGGAUGGUGAAAAAUUUGAGCCCACUGAUGUGCACAUUCCCAGCUGAGGUCAAACAAAGUGACACUCUGCCUUCUUGUUUCAGCUUCCAUAGUGUAAACAAAUUUUAUUCCAUUUAUUCAUUCAAACACUAAUCUGAGUUCUGCUAUGAAGGGAUUGUGCAGAUUAAAGUCCCUAAUCAGAUCUGUACUGUCACCAUCAGCUCUCCCCUUCACCCAAUUUUCAAGCCUUUGAACUUGGACUGAAUUACACCAUGGACUUUUCUAGUUCUCCAGCUUGCAAGUGGAAGAUCAUGGGAUUUCCUGGCUUCCAUAAUCAUGUAAGCCAAUGCUAAAAUAAUAAAUUUCCUCUUAUAUAUAA
Long non-coding RNA from Suricata suricatta (meerkat), 529 nucleotides. RefSeq lists it as uncharacterized. The transcript has 5 exons. The record is from RefSeq and is a predicted model, not a curated record. Lineage: Eukaryota; Metazoa; Chordata; Mammalia; Carnivora; Herpestidae.